UACGGAGGGUGCGAGCGUUGUCCGGAAUCACUGGGCGUAAAGGGCGCGUAGGCGGCCUGAUAAGUAGGGGGUGAAAUCCUGCGGCUUAACCGCAGGGCUGCCUUCUAAACUGUCAGGCUCGAGCACAGUAGAGGCAGGUGGAAUUCCCGGUGUAGCGGUGGAAUGCGUAGAGAUCGGGAAGAACAUCAGUGGCGAAGGCAGUUCUCUGGGCCGUAACUGACGCUGAGGAGCGAAAGCGUGGGGAGCGAACAGG
Molecule: ribosomal RNA, 253 nt
Filed under: uncultured bacterium
Lineage: Bacteria
Description: partial 16S ribosomal RNA
Rfam family: Bacterial small subunit ribosomal RNA
Source: RNAcentral